Non-coding RNA from Triticum aestivum (bread wheat), 161 nucleotides. The record is from Rfam. NCBI's taxonomy places the organism in Eukaryota, Viridiplantae, Streptophyta, Magnoliopsida, Poales, Poaceae.
CAACUACUCCCUCUGUCCCAAAUUUUCUAUCUUAGAUUUGUCUAGAUAUGGAUGUAUCUAAUAAUAAAAUGUGACUUGAUACAUCCGUAUCUAGACAAAUCUUGAUACAUCUGUAUCUAGACAAAUCUAAGACAAGAAUUUUGGGACGGAGGGAGUACUUU